Podarcis raffonei (Aeolian wall lizard) is the source of this 471-nucleotide long non-coding RNA. RefSeq lists it as uncharacterized. The record is from RefSeq and is a predicted model, not a curated record. NCBI's taxonomy places the organism in Eukaryota, Metazoa, Chordata, Lepidosauria, Squamata, Lacertidae. The transcript has 4 exons.
CCUAUCCUAAGAACUUUUUUAAAAGUGGUAUUUCCAGAAGGUACAGAACACUCAAUAUGUUCUCCAGGGUUUGUGGAAAUGAUGGCAAGUAAUUUGCAUCUGGCUCUUGGAGGCUGAAGUUUCCGCAACAUCUUCCCAAGGGAUGAAGGGGGAAAUGGAAAAAGAAGACAGGCAGACAACACAGGCAAUGCACUUAGAUGGCAGCACAGAUAAAAAGGAAGAACCCUUCUCCAGCAGAGAGAGAUAGAAUGGGUUCAAUUGACCCCAGGCUAAACUGCUAUAAGAAUUGUAGAUUGUGAUCAUUUCUCUUUUAUUGAAGGGGAACUGCAGGCAUCUUCCAAUGGCACAUGAAGUGCUCACAAGAGGAUGGGCCACAUUGAAAAAGAAGAAGAGAGAAAGUACUUCAAGAUAGGGAAAGCCUGUAAGCACAGCAGUAUUUUAUUUUAGUAGAAGGUAUGUGAGGGCUAUCAC